Molecule: long non-coding RNA, 517 nt
Organism: Calidris pugnax (ruff)
Lineage: Eukaryota; Metazoa; Chordata; Aves; Charadriiformes; Scolopacidae
Exons: 4
Source: RefSeq, a predicted model, not a curated record
UCUGUGUAAGGCAGAAGGUAACAACGCUUUUAUUGCUCAAACCUGAGGCGGCAGCUUGCGUCGUUUGCCCGUUCGGAGACUUGUGCUCAGGCUAUUUACAGCACUUGGUUGCUGUCAAGAAACACAACAAGAAAUCCAGGGAAUGGAGAAUGUGGAGAAGUCCAAAUAAGGGAGGAUUACCAGCUGAGAAAGGCUACGUAUGUUGGCAGCUUAUCUUUACUAUAGCAUGGGAUGCAUCUGAGAAAGAUUCGUCAGGAGCAGUGGCAACUGGAAAGCUGAGAGAUGGACCAUAAUUAUGAAAGUAAGGUGGCCUUCAUCCCAGGAAAACCAUCUGUCUCACCAGGGACUUUAAGACUAAGACUUUAAUGAGUGCUAACAUUAGAAGUGCAUGCAGACCUCUCCAACACAAAAUAACUGAGCCUGUCCUCAACCCUGUCUUCAGUGAACCUGAGAGCUUGAGAACACGGCUCAAAUGUGCACUCCCAUGCUUGCAGAGUGGGUGGACCAGGUCUGAACC